GACGAACCGUCCGAACGUUAUUCGGUAUCACUGGGCUUAAAGAGUUCGUAGGCGGCCCGACAGGUGAGGUGUGAAAUCCCUCGGCUCAACCGAGGAACUGCGCUUCAAACCGUCAGGCUUGAGGGAGACAGAGGUAGGCGGAACAGAUGGUGGAGCGGUGAAAUGCGUUGAUAUCAUCUGGAACACCGGUGGCGAAAGCGGCCUACUGGGUCUUUUCUGACGCUGAGGAACGAAAGCUAGGGUAGCGAACGGG
This 253-nucleotide ribosomal RNA is filed under the name uncultured bacterium. RNAcentral describes it as "partial 16S ribosomal RNA". It matches the Rfam family "Bacterial small subunit ribosomal RNA", at positions 524 to 776 of the family's 1533-position model. The record is from RNAcentral.